This is a regulatory RNA element of Weissella kandleri, 70 nucleotides long. The record is from Rfam. Lineage: Bacteria; Bacillati; Bacillota; Bacilli; Lactobacillales; Lactobacillaceae.
CACAAACUGCAACCACUCGAACCCCGUUAUAAAGGUAAGCCCUGCGGAUUAGGUGAGUCUAAGUUGUUAC